RNAcentral lists this long non-coding RNA (404 nucleotides) under Marmota monax (woodchuck). The record is from RNAcentral. Lineage: Eukaryota; Metazoa; Chordata; Mammalia; Rodentia; Sciuridae.
GUAAGGCUCAGGCGUCGUGCAGAUCGGUCCCCGAUGGGCCCUGAGGCCCCUAUGGCCUGGCCCAAGGUGGCUGCGGCCACGUCGCCGCUGCAGAGCUGCAGGCCGCAGUGUAGAUGUUUAGGGAGCCACCUGGGACGCAGUGUGGGCACUUAAGGAGCCACUGGGCCACUCUGGUUGCUCAGAGAGCCACUAGGGUUGUGGUGUGAUCUGGGGAGUCCUUGAGCCGUGGUAUGGACACUUGGGAGCCGCUGGGCCGCGGCGUGGACACUUGGGAGAGCCGCGGCUGCGGUGUGGGCGCUUAGGAAGCCACUUGGCUGGUGGGUGGCGGGAUGCAACCCUCUAAGCCCAAGGGUUGCAGGGCUGGGUUCGAGGAUGCACUGCAUAGUGCAGCCGGGGUAGCGAGC